Molecule: ribosomal RNA, 412 nt
Filed under: Arenaeus cribrarius
Lineage: Eukaryota; Metazoa; Arthropoda; Malacostraca; Decapoda; Portunidae
Description: partial 12S ribosomal RNA
Rfam family: Microsporidia small subunit ribosomal RNA
Source: RNAcentral
ACCAAGAAGUAAUUGUUAUAAGCCUAAGUACUAAUAGUUAUGUUCUAAAAAUUUGAAAAAUUUGGCGGUGGUUUAGUCUUGUCAGAGGAACCUGUCUUUUAAACGAUACACCACGAAAUAUCUUACUUAAGUUUGUAAAGUAUGUAUACCAUCAUUAUUAGGUAAUUUUUAUAGAAUUAAUUACUGAAAUGCUUGUUAAAAAUGUUAAAUAUAUUAGAUCAAGGUGCAGCUAAUGCUUAAGUUAAGGNGGGUUACAAUAAAUAUUUAUUUAAUACGGAUUAAUAGUUUAAACACUACUAUGAAGGAGGAUUUGAUUGUAAAGUUAGUUUAAUACGCUAGCUAGAUAUAAGCUCUAAAGCAUGUACAUAUCGCCCGUCGCUUUCAUUAUUAGGAUGAGAUAAGUCGUAACAUA